AACGCUAGCUACAGGCUUAACACAUGCAAGUCGAGGGGCAGCAUGGUCUUAGCUUGCUAAGGCCGAUGGCGACCGGCGCACGGGUGAGUAACACGUAUCCAACCUGCCGUCUACUCUUGGACAGCCUUCUGAAAGGAAGAUUAAUACAAGAUGGCAUCAUGAGUCCGCAUGUUCACAUGAUUAAAGGUAUUCCGGUAGACGAUGGGGAUGCGUUCCAUUAGAUAGUAGGCGGGGUAACGGCCCACCUAGUCUUCGAUGGAUAGGGGUUCUGAGAGGAAGGUCCCCCACAUUGGAACUGAGACACGGUCCAAACUCCUACGGGAGGCAGCAGUGAGGAAUAUUGGUCAAUGGGCGAGAGCCUGAACCAGCCAAGUAGCGUGAAGGAUGACUGCCCUAUGGGUUGUAAACUUCUUUUAUAAAGGAAUAAAGUCGGGUAUGGAUACCCGUUUGCAUGUACUUUAUGAAUAAGGAUCGGCUAACUCCGUGCCAGCAGCCGCGGUAAUACGGAGGAUCCGAGCGUUAUCCGGAUUUAUUGGGUUUAAAGGGAGCGUAGAUGGAUGUUUAAGUCAGUUGUGAACGUUUGCGGCUCAACCGUAAAAUUGCAGUUGAUACUGGAUGUCUUGAGUGCAGUUGAGGCAGGCGGAAUUCGUGGUGUAGCGGUGAAAUGCUUAGAUAUCACGAAGAACUCCGAUUG
RNAcentral lists this ribosomal RNA (694 nucleotides) under uncultured bacterium. RNAcentral's name for it is "bacterial SSU rRNA". It matches the Rfam family "Bacterial small subunit ribosomal RNA", at positions 32 to 715 of the family's 1533-position model. The record is from RNAcentral.